Molecule: transfer RNA, 73 nt
Filed under: Urocitellus parryii (Arctic ground squirrel)
Lineage: Eukaryota; Metazoa; Chordata; Mammalia; Rodentia; Sciuridae
Also listed under: 1 other name
Description: Spermophilus parryii (Arctic ground squirrel) tRNA
Rfam family: tRNA
About the family: Transfer RNA (tRNA) molecules are approximately 80 nucleotides in length. Their secondary structure includes four short double-helical elements and three loops (D, anti-codon, and T loops). Further hydrogen bonds mediate the characteristic L-shaped molecular structure. tRNAs have two regions of fundamental functional importance: the anti-codon, which is responsible for specific mRNA codon recognition, and the 3' end, to which the tRNAs corresponding amino acid is attached (by aminoacyl-tRNA synthetases). tRNAs cope with the degeneracy of the genetic code in two manners: having more than one tRNA (with a specific anti-codon) for a particular amino acid; and 'wobble' base-pairing, i.e. permitting non-standard base-pairing at the 3rd anti-codon position.
Source: Rfam by way of RNAcentral
GGAGAUAUAGCUCAGUUGGUAGAGUGCUUGCCUCACGUGCACAAGGCCCUGAGUUCAAUUCUUAGCAUCACAA